CGGCACGUGCGAUCGCGCGAACUUUCACGAGCGAGCGCGGUCACCAAGCCCUGACGAGUAGGAGGGUCGCGGCGGUGAGCGCAGAAGGGCUGGCCGCGAGGCCGUCUGGAGCCGCCGUCGGUGCAGAUCUUGGUGGUAGUAGCAAAUACUCCAGCGAGGCCCUGGAGGACUGACGUGGAGAAGGGUUUCGUGUGAACAGCCGUUGCACACGAGUCAGUCGAUCCUAAGCCCUAGGCGAAAGCCGAUGUCGAUGCGGUGUAGUUUUUACGAUAAAUAGAUAGAUAGAUAGAUAGAUAGACGAAAUUCGACGACUACGACGAAAGAAACAUUAAUUCGUCGUCUAGUCGUUGUUGUCGUCGUCGUCGUCGUCAUAAGUCUAAUUAAUAACGCGAGAGCACACACCCGUCGGGCGAAAGGGAAUCCGGUUCCUAUUCCGGAACCUGGC
RNAcentral lists this ribosomal RNA (445 nucleotides) under Echinodera andalusiensis. Its description in RNAcentral is "eukaryotic LSU rRNA". It matches the Rfam family "Eukaryotic large subunit ribosomal RNA", at positions 1358 to 1629 of the family's 3401-position model. The record is from RNAcentral. Lineage: Eukaryota; Metazoa; Arthropoda; Insecta; Coleoptera; Curculionidae.